UACGAAGGGGGCUAGCGUUGUUCGGAAUUACUGGGCGUAAAGCGUGCGCAGGCGGCUUCUCAAGUCAGGGGUGAAAGCCCAGAGCUCAACUCUGGAAUUGCCUUGAGACUGAGAGGCUUGAGUGCGGGAGAGGUGAGUAGAAUUCCCAGUGUAGAGGUGAAAUUCGUAGAUAUUGGGAAGAACACCGGUGGCGAAGGCGGCUCACUGGCCCGUAACUGACGCUCAGGCACGACAGCGUGGGGAUCAAACAGG
This 252-nucleotide ribosomal RNA is filed under the name uncultured bacterium. RNAcentral's name for it is "partial 16S ribosomal RNA". It matches the Rfam family "Bacterial small subunit ribosomal RNA", at positions 524 to 776 of the family's 1533-position model. The record is from RNAcentral.